RNAcentral lists this small nucleolar RNA (138 nucleotides) under Castor canadensis (American beaver). Lineage: Eukaryota; Metazoa; Chordata; Mammalia; Rodentia; Castoridae. The record is from RNAcentral.
UUCCUUUGAGCCCCAGUCAUGCCUGUGCAUGGUGCUGGGGAUCAAGCUGCAACUCCAGGGCACAUGCUUGUGCAUAACUGGAAUUAAAAAAAAAAAAAAGUAGUAUAUCUAACAAUGGAGUAUUACUCAGCCAUAAAA